Ribosomal RNA from Pteropus vampyrus (large flying fox), 113 nucleotides. The record is from Ensembl. NCBI's taxonomy places the organism in Eukaryota, Metazoa, Chordata, Mammalia, Chiroptera, Pteropodidae.
GACUAUGCCACCCUGAACAAGCCUAAUCCUGUCUGAUCUCAGAAGCUGAGCAGAGUUGGGCCUGGUUAGUACUUGGAUAGGAGACUGCCUAGGAAGACCGGGUAAUAUAGGUG